RNAcentral lists this ribosomal RNA (704 nucleotides) under Sorghum nitidum. RNAcentral describes it as "eukaryotic LSU rRNA". The stretch from base 267 to 422 matches the Rfam family "5.8S ribosomal RNA". The record is from RNAcentral. Lineage: Eukaryota; Viridiplantae; Streptophyta; Magnoliopsida; Poales; Poaceae.
GGAAGUAAAAGUCGUAACAAGGUUUCCGUAGGUGAACCUGCGGAAGGAUCAUUGUCGUGACCCUUAAACAAAACAGACCGCGAACGCGUCUCUCGUGCCGCCGGGCCUCGGCUCGGCACACGGCCCCCGAGCCCUGUCAUGGGGCGGAGGGGCCACAAAAGAACCCACGGCGCCUUAGGCGUCAAGGAACACUUAUAUUGCCUUGCACGGCGGAGCGGUCGGCCUGCCUUCCGCUCCCCGCGCAGCGAUGAUAUCUUAAUGCACACGACUCUCGGCAACGGAUAUCUCGGCUCUCGCAUCGAUGAAGAACGUAGCAAAAUGCGAUACCUGGUGUGAAUUGCAGAAUCCCGCGAACCAUCGAGUUUUUGAACGCAAGUUGCGCCCGAGGCCUUCUGGCCGAGGGCACGUCUGCCUGGGCGUCACGCCAAAAGACACUCCCAACCCACCCAGAGGGGAGGAGGGACGUGGUGUUUGGCCUCCCGUGCCUCGUGGCGCGGUGGGCCGAAGUUGGGGCUGCCGGCGAAUCGUGUCGGGCACAGCACGUGGUGGGCGACACCUUAGUUGUUCUCGGUGCAGCGCCCCGGCACGCGGCCGGCGCAUCGGCCCUAAGGACCCAUGAGCACCGCAGCGCAUCGCCGCUCGGACCGCGACCCCAGGUCAGUCGGGACUACCCGCUGAGUUUAAGCAUAUCAAUAAGCGGAGGA